This is a long non-coding RNA of Achroia grisella, 533 nucleotides long. RefSeq lists it as uncharacterized. Lineage: Eukaryota; Metazoa; Arthropoda; Insecta; Lepidoptera; Pyralidae. The record is from RefSeq and is a predicted model, not a curated record. The transcript has 4 exons.
GGCGGCGCGUGGGCGGGCGCACUGCUGGCGCUGGCGGCGCUGCUGGCGCUGGUGGCCGCCGCACUCUAUAUCCUGCACAGGCGGAGACACGGUGCGUUCGUGCACGCACGUCUGGCAGACAACGUGGAAAUCAACAACCCGAUGUACCUCGCCGGGGAGGACGAGCCCGAACACCGGCAGCCCACCGCGCACACGAACGGAGGAAAUCACUUCUCAAACCCAGUAUACGAGAGCAUGUACGUGCCACAACAAAUACCCACAGAGGAGCACGCGAACUUACUGGAUGCAAGUGUAGCUGAAAGUUCGUCCCCGCCGCCCGAGCGAUCCGCACUGCUAUGAACGUAAACCGGUCUUCUACCAUCAGGAUCAGGACCAGAUCGCCACCAGGACCGAACUGACAGGACCCCUGGUGACUCAUAGUUUUAAGUACUACAGCGCUCGACCAUGACCGUCAGUAAUGUGCCAAUUGUAAGAAAAUGUAAAAUUGUGCACAUUAUGUAAACGGGAUCAAUUGAAAUUGAUAAUAUUGUAGU